AAGCACCAAUGAAUGUUGUUAUUUUGGGGUGGAGCUCAUUGCUAUUGAGUCAGACAGGAGCCGAAAUGGAUGUAGAAUUUAUUCUUCCAUUUUUGAUUGAUGGUGGAUCACAUAUUUUUACUAGGAUACACGGUCAUCACUUUAUUACUAACUGUGGACACAAUGGUGUAUUCAUUCAUGCUUUGAUGACAGUUUUUGGAUAUCUAAUUACAGCAGCUACCUGCUACUGUAUUAGUAGAAAGAGAGGAGAAUAUAUC
Amphimedon queenslandica is the source of this 257-nucleotide long non-coding RNA. RefSeq lists it as uncharacterized. The record is from RefSeq and is a predicted model, not a curated record. The transcript has 3 exons. Lineage: Eukaryota; Metazoa; Porifera; Demospongiae; Haplosclerida; Niphatidae.